AUUUAGGUAGCUUAACUUAAAGCAUAUCUCUGAAGAAGGUAAAAUGAGAAUCCUCCCUAAAUA
RNAcentral lists this transfer RNA (63 nucleotides) under Amynthas robustus. RNAcentral's name for it is "tRNA-Phe". The record is from RNAcentral. Lineage: Eukaryota; Metazoa; Annelida; Clitellata; Crassiclitellata; Megascolecidae.